Molecule: ribosomal RNA, 404 nt
Filed under: uncultured bacterium
Lineage: Bacteria
Description: bacterial SSU rRNA
Rfam family: Bacterial small subunit ribosomal RNA
Source: RNAcentral
AUUGAACGCUGGCGGCGUGCUUAACACAUGCAAGUCGAUCGGUAACAGGUGUAGCAAUACAUGCUGACGAGAGGCGGACGGGUGAGUAAUGCUUGGGAAUCUGCCUAUUAGUGGGGGACAACCCGGGGAAACUCGGGCUAAUACCGCAUACGCUCUACGGAGGAAAGCCGGGGACCGCAAGGCCUGGCGCUAAUAGAUGAGCCCAAGUCGGAUUAGCUAGUUGGUAGGGUAACGGCCUACCAAGGCGACAAUCCGUAGCUGGUCUGAGAGGACGACCAGCCACACCGGAACUGAGACACGGUCCGGACUCCUACGGGAGGCAGCAGUGGGAAUAUUGGACAAUGGGGGCAACCCUGAUCCAGCGACGCCGCGUGGGUGAAGAAGGCCUGCGGGUUGUAAAGCCC